UAGAAAUAAAUUGUACGAGGUCUCCCAUUAAUUGAGGGAUUCUGAUUUCAAACGGGCAAUAAUUAAAGAAAGGGGUCAAUCAAACAAUUUUCCAAAGCAGUACAAGAGGGGUAAAUACAUAAAGGUCUAUAUAAGGACAAGGUUUGACAGCACACACUUUGUGCAAGUAAGGAAAGGGAAUCCGUUAACAACCAACAAAUCCAAAUUGCAGGUUUUGUACGAAUGAACCAAGUCGGGAAAAGAGAGGAAAGGUUUUAUUUAAGGAAAAUCAGUAAUAAUCGAUCUAACCUAGAAAAAAGAUUCUGAAUCAAUCAUAAGUUGGAAAGCCUUUUGAAGAAAGGUAGAACACACAUAUAAAAGCAUAUAAACUAACUUAAACAAGAAAGAACUGUCAUGCUAAUCAGAAGAGUCUAGUAUAGAAGAGUUCAGAGUCAUAAACAAAGAGGUUCAAUUCAGUACAUAGACUCAGAAUGAAUUUGAGAGAGUCGAGGGUUCCAAAAACAGAACCCUAUUCCAAACACAAGGUCAAACUUGCCAAAACCCCCAAAUUCUAGGGUUUCUAAGUUGAAUCAAAUACAGAGACGAGGAGCCAAGUAAUUGAACAAACUCUAAGAUCUCUUUCAGAGACUCAUGAGAAAAAAA
This 642-nucleotide long non-coding RNA is filed under the name Nicotiana benthamiana. RNAcentral describes it as "long non-coding RNA (NBEN_LNC024944)". Lineage: Eukaryota; Viridiplantae; Streptophyta; Magnoliopsida; Solanales; Solanaceae. The record is from RNAcentral.